RNAcentral lists this long non-coding RNA (250 nucleotides) under Homo sapiens (human). RNAcentral describes it as "non-protein coding lnc-SLC7A11-1:3". The record is from RNAcentral. Lineage: Eukaryota; Metazoa; Chordata; Mammalia; Primates; Hominidae.
AUUUCUUAAAGGAUGAAACAUUCCACAAAAUAUAUUUUAUCACAGACUAUGGGGUGGAUUCCACUGGGAGAAAAGAGGAUCUAAAUGCCAGGCUCACCCCUCACAUUCUAUUCAACUGCACAGGAUAGAAUGAUGUAAGUGCUUCAGAAUGAUGCGAUUGCUGUGAAUCCAAAAUCUCUCAUAUAAUGUUGGUCAAACGUAUAACUGUCUUAGCCACUCUAGGUUUUCUCCUUCUCCUCUAGAUCUUUGC